RNAcentral lists this ribosomal RNA (241 nucleotides) under uncultured bacterium. RNAcentral's name for it is "partial 16S ribosomal RNA". It matches the Rfam family "Bacterial small subunit ribosomal RNA", at positions 1251 to 1500 of the family's 1533-position model. The record is from RNAcentral.
UACCGGGCGACCGGAUGCGGAUCUCGAAAGCCUGUCCCAGUUCGGACUGGAGUCUGCAACCCGACUCCACGAAGUUGGAUUCGCUAGUAAUCGCGCAUCAGCCAUGGCGCGGUGAAUACGUUCCCGGGCCUUGUACACACCGCCCGUCAAGCCAUGGGAGCCGGGGGCGCCUGAAGUCCGGGACCGCGAGGACCGGCCUAGGGCGAAACUGGUAACUGGGGCUAAGUCGUAACAAGGUAAC